RNAcentral lists this ribosomal RNA (407 nucleotides) under uncultured bacterium. RNAcentral describes it as "bacterial SSU rRNA". It matches the Rfam family "Bacterial small subunit ribosomal RNA", at positions 8 to 441 of the family's 1533-position model. The record is from RNAcentral.
AGAGUUUGAUCCUGGCUCAGAGCGAACGCUGGCGGCAUGCUUAACACAUGCAAGUCGCACGGGCACUUCGGUGUCAGUGGCGGACGGGUGAGUAACGCGUAGGUAUCUAUCCUUGGGUGGGGGACAACUGUGGGAAACUACAGCUAAUACCGCAUGAUGACUGAGGUCCAAAGGCGCAAGUCGCCUGGGGAGGAGCCUGCGUACGAUUAGCUAGUUGGUGGGGUAAAGGCCUACCAAGGCGACGAUCGUUAGCUGGUCUGAGAGGAUGAUCAGCCACAUUGGGACUGAGACACGGCCCAAACUCCUACGGGAGGCAGCAGUGGGGAAUAUUGGACAAUGGGCGAAAGCCUGAUCCAGCAAUGCCGCGUGUGUGAAGAAGGUCUUCGGAUUGUAAAGCACUUCGACGG